CUUGGUCAUUUAGAGGAAGUAAAAGUCGUAACAAGGUCUCCGUUGGUGAACCAGCGGAGGGAUCAUUACCGAGUUUACAACUCCCAAACCCCUGUGAACAUACCACUUGUUGCCUCGGCGGAUCAGCCCGCUCCCGGUAAAACGGGACGGCCCGCCAGAGGACCCCUAAACUCUGUUUCUAUAUGUAACUUCUGAGUAAAACCAUAAAUAAAUCAAAACUUUCAACAACGGAUCUCUUGGUUCUGGCAUCGAUGAAGAACGCAGCAAAAUGCGAUAAGUAAUGUGAAUUGCAGAAUUCAGUGAAUCAUCGAAUCUUUGAACGCACAUUGCGCCCGCCAGUAUUCUGGCGGGCAUGCCUGUUCGAGCGUCAUUUCAACCCUCAAGCACAGCUUGGUGUUGGGACUCGCGUUAAUUCGCGUUCCUCAAAUUGAUUGGCGGUCACGUCGAGCUUCCAUAGCGUAGUAGUAAAACCCUCGUUACUGGUAAUCGUCGCGGCCACGCCGUUAAACCCCAACUUCUGAAUGUUGACCUCGGAUCAGGUAGGAAUACCCGCUGAACUUAAGCAUAUCAAUA
RNAcentral lists this ribosomal RNA (573 nucleotides) under Fusarium oxysporum. Its description in RNAcentral is "eukaryotic LSU rRNA". The stretch from base 217 to 370 matches the Rfam family "5.8S ribosomal RNA". Lineage: Eukaryota; Fungi; Ascomycota; Sordariomycetes; Hypocreales; Nectriaceae. The record is from RNAcentral.